RNAcentral lists this ribosomal RNA (331 nucleotides) under uncultured eukaryote. Its description in RNAcentral is "partial 18S ribosomal RNA". It matches the Rfam family "Eukaryotic small subunit ribosomal RNA", at positions 1470 to 1796 of the family's 1831-position model. The record is from RNAcentral.
CCCUUAGAUGUUCUGGGCCGCACGCGCGCUACACUGUUCGACGCAGCGAGUCUUAACCUUGACCGAAAGGUUUGGGUAAUCUUCAGCAAAGUCGAACGUGAUGGGGAUCGAUCAUUGCAAUUAUUGAUCGUGAACGAGGAAUUCCUAGUAAGUGCAAGUCAUCAGCUUGCGCUGAUUACGUCCCUGCCCUUUGUACACAUCGCCCGUCGCUACUACCGAUUGAAUGGUUUAGUGAGAUCUCUGGAUUGACGCUGGCUAGGGGGCGACCCUUGGCCAGACUGUUGAGAAACUGCUCAAACUUGAUCAUUUAGAGGAAGUAAAAGUCGUAACA